RNAcentral lists this ribosomal RNA (1439 nucleotides) under uncultured organism. RNAcentral's name for it is "16S ribosomal RNA". It matches the Rfam family "Bacterial small subunit ribosomal RNA". The record is from RNAcentral.
CAGGCUUAACACAUGCAAGUCGAGGGGCAGCAUGGUCUUAGCUUGCUAAGGCCGAUGGCGACCGGCGCACGGGUGAGUAACACGUAUCCAACCUGCCGUCUACUCUUGGACAGCCUUCUGAAAGGAAGAUUAAUACAAGAUGGCAUCAUGAGUCCGCAUGUUCACAUGAUUAAAGGUAUUCCGGUAGACGAUGGGGAUGCGUUCCAUUAGAUAGUAGGCGGGGUAACGGCCCACCUAGUCUUCGAUGGAUAGGGGUUCUGAGAGGAAGGUCCCCCACAUUGGAACUGAGACACGGUCCAAACUCCUACGGGAGGCAGCAGUGAGGAAUAUUGGUCAAUGGGCGAGAGCCUGAACCAGCCAAGUAGCGUGAAGGAUGACUGCCCUAUGGGUUGUAAACUUCUUUUAUAAAGGAAUAAAGUCGGGUAUGGAUACCCGUUUGCAUGUACUUUAUGAAUAAGGAUCGGCUAACUCCGUGCCAGCAGCCGCGGUAAUACGGAGGAUCCGAGCGUUAUCCGGAUUUAUUGGGUUUAAAGGGAGCGUAGAUGGAUGUUUAAGUCAGUUGUGAAAGUUUGCGGCUCAACCGUAAAAUUGCAGUUGAUACUGGAUAUCUUGAGUGCAGUUGAGGCAGGCGGAAUUCGUGGUGUAGCGGUGAAAUGCUUAGAUAUCACGAAGAACUCCGAUUGCGAAGGCAGCCUGCUAAGCUGCAACUGACAUUGAGGCUCGAAAGUGUGGGUAUCAAACAGGAUUAGAUACCCUGGUAGUCCACACGGUAAACGAUGAAUACUCGCUGUUUGCGAUAUACAGCAAGCGGCCAAGCGAAAGCGUUAAGUAUUCCACCUGGGGAGUACGCCGGCAACGGUGAAACUCAAAGGAAUUGACGGGGGCCCGCACAAGCGGAGGAACAUGUGGUUUAAUUCGAUGAUACGCGAGGAACCUUACCCGGGCUUAAAUUGCAGAUGAAUUACGGUGAAAGCCGUAAGCCGCAAGGCAUCUGUGAAGGUGCUGCAUGGUUGUCGUCAGCUCGUGCCGUGAGGUGUCGGCUCAAGUGCCAUAACGAGCGCAACCCUUGUCGUCAGUUACUAACAGGUUCCGCUGAGGACUCUGACAAGACUGCCAUCGUAAGAUGUGAGGAAGGUGGGGAUGACGUCAAAUCAGCACGGCCCUUACGUCCGGGGCUACACACGUGUUACAAUGGGGGGUACAGAGGGCCGCUACCACGCGAGUGGAUGCCAAUCCCCAAAACCUCUCUCAGUUCGGACUGGAGUCUGCAACCCGACUCCACGAAGCUGGAUUCGCUAGUAAUCGCGCAUCAGCCACGGCGCGGUGAAUACGUUCCCGGGCCUUGUACACACCGCCCGUCAAGCCAUGGGAGCCGGGGGUACCUGAAGUGCGUAACCGCGAGGAGCGCCCUAGGGUAAAACUGGUGACUGGGGCUAAGU